This 75-nucleotide transfer RNA is filed under the name Chloroflexota bacterium. RNAcentral describes it as "tRNA-Thr". It matches the Rfam family "tRNA". From Rfam's summary of the family: Transfer RNA (tRNA) molecules are approximately 80 nucleotides in length. Their secondary structure includes four short double-helical elements and three loops (D, anti-codon, and T loops). The record is from RNAcentral. Lineage: Bacteria; Bacillati; Chloroflexota.
GCCGGCGUAGCUCAGUGGUAGAGCAGCUGUUUCGUAAACAGCAGGCCAUCAGUUCGAAUCUGAUCGCCGGCUCCA